RNAcentral lists this ribosomal RNA (500 nucleotides) under uncultured bacterium. Its description in RNAcentral is "bacterial SSU rRNA". It matches the Rfam family "Bacterial small subunit ribosomal RNA", at positions 28 to 507 of the family's 1533-position model. The record is from RNAcentral.
AAUCAACGCUGGCGGCGUGCCUAACACAUGCAAGUCGAACGCGAAAGGGGCUUCGGCCCUGAGUAGAGUGGCAAACGGGUGAGUAACGCGUGGGUGACCUACCCUCGAGCGGGGGAUAACGUCCCGAAAGGGGCGCUAAUACCGCAUGACAUCCCGCUCUUGGACGGGCGGAGAUCAAAGCCGGGGAUCGCAAGACCUGGCACUCGAGGAGGGGCCCACGUCCGAUUAGCUGGUUGGCGGGGUAACGGCCCACCAAGGCUCCGAUCGGUAGCCGGCCUGAGAGGGCGGACGGCCACACUGGGACUGAGACACGGCCCAGACUCCUACGGGAGGCAGCAGUGGGGAAUUGUUCGCAAUGGGCGCAAGCCUGACGACGCAACGCCGCGUGGAGGAUGAAGAUUUUCGGAUCGUAAACUCCUGUCGAACGGAACGAACGGCCCGGCCGUGAACAGCGGCCGGGAGUGACGGUACCGUGAGAGGAAGCCCCGGCUAACUCCGUG